This 253-nucleotide ribosomal RNA is filed under the name uncultured Bdellovibrio sp. RNAcentral's name for it is "partial 16S ribosomal RNA". It matches the Rfam family "Bacterial small subunit ribosomal RNA", at positions 524 to 776 of the family's 1533-position model. Lineage: Bacteria; Pseudomonadati; Bdellovibrionota; Bdellovibrionia; Bdellovibrionales; Pseudobdellovibrionaceae. The record is from RNAcentral.
GACGAGGGAUCCUAGCGUUGUUCGGAAUUAUUGGGCGUAAAGCGGAUGUAGGUGGCUUUGUAAGUCAGAUGUGAAAGCCUAGGGCUCAACCCUAGAAGUGCAUUUGAUACUGCGAAGCUUGAGUGUCGGAGAGGUUACUAGAAUUCCUGGUGUAGUGGUGAAAUACGUAGAUAUCAGGAGGAAUACCGGAGGCGAAGGCGGGUAACUGGCCGAACACUGACACUGAGAUCCGAAAGCGUGGGGACCAAACAGG